GAGGGUAUAGCUCAGUGGUAGAGCGCAUGCUCAGCAUGCGCCAGCUCCUGGGUUCAACCCCCAGCACCACCU
This 72-nucleotide transfer RNA is filed under the name Camelus bactrianus (Bactrian camel). It matches the Rfam family "tRNA". Rfam says of the family: Transfer RNA (tRNA) molecules are approximately 80 nucleotides in length. Their secondary structure includes four short double-helical elements and three loops (D, anti-codon, and T loops). Further hydrogen bonds mediate the characteristic L-shaped molecular structure. tRNAs have two regions of fundamental functional importance: the anti-codon, which is responsible for specific mRNA codon recognition, and the 3' end, to which the tRNAs corresponding amino acid is attached (by aminoacyl-tRNA synthetases). tRNAs cope with the degeneracy of the genetic code in two manners: having more than one tRNA (with a specific anti-codon) for a particular amino acid; and 'wobble' base-pairing, i.e. permitting non-standard base-pairing at the 3rd anti-codon position. RNAcentral also lists the same sequence under 2 other names. The record is from Rfam by way of RNAcentral. Lineage: Eukaryota; Metazoa; Chordata; Mammalia; Artiodactyla; Camelidae.